RNAcentral lists this ribosomal RNA (322 nucleotides) under uncultured CFB group bacterium B2M39. RNAcentral describes it as "bacterial SSU rRNA". It matches the Rfam family "Bacterial small subunit ribosomal RNA", at positions 1085 to 1405 of the family's 1533-position model. The record is from RNAcentral. Lineage: Bacteria; Pseudomonadati; Bacteroidota.
GUCCGCAACGAGCGCAACCCUUACUGUUAGUUGCCAGCACAUAGUGGUGGGGACUCUAACAGGACUGCCUACGCAAGUAGAGAGGAAGGUGGGGACGACGUCAAGUCAUCAUGGCCCUUACGCCCAGGGCUACACACGUGCUACAAUGGGGGGUACAGAGGGUAGCUACCUGGUAACAGGAUGCCAACCUCAAAAAGCCUCUCUCAGUUCGGAUUGAGGUCUGCAACUCGACCUCAUGAAGUCGGAAUCGCUAGUAAUCGCAUAUCAGCAAUGAUGCGGUGAAUACGUUCCCGGACCUUGUACACACCGCCCGUCAAGCCAU